GCAAUAGGCUUUUAAAGUAACAAGCAAUCUCUGAACCUGAAUGGGAUGUAUGCGUGUGCUGUUGCAAACCACCGCCUUGCCAAAAUAUUGCAGCUGGCAAGAGAGGGGCUGGCUGUGUGCUGCUUUAGGUCAAGCAGCAAAACCCACCUUUCUCUGUGCCAUGGGCUUACACAAAGGGUCUGCAACGGGGGAUACAAAAGGGAUGGUUUCUAUCCACUGCUCAACAAGCUCCUGGGGGAAGAUUCAGUCGACAAAUAAGGGCAGAAGUUUAGAGCUGAGCCUGGCUCAUUGUUUGGGUGAGGUGUCGGACUGGAGGACGUCUGUGGAGUCAGAGCUGCACUGCUUGCUCUGAUGGGACACGGGUCAGGUUUCUCUCUGAAUCUCUCACUCCAAACACCCUCUCCAAUAUUUGCUUAAAAAUCACUCUUUCCAUGUCCAUUCUGCCAGUAAUUUCUCUUACUGGAAUCUCUUCUAGUUCAAGUGCUGUCAAAAGAAGAAAAAUUGCCCAAAUAAUCUUAUUCCCUGGUGCUAUCACACGCUGGCUGCGCCGUCCAGGCUGUGCCCGCGCAGGGCCGAGGCAGAGCUGCCAAUAAUAAUCACCACGAUGGUGCUGCGAGAAGCCCUAAAAGGCACGGUGGUUAUGGGCAGGAAAACCUGCCGCUAGCAACCGGGUCCAGUUUAUGCAAACACGACCUGACUCACAAAAGCCGUAGUCAGAUGGGGAGAGAGAGCUCCUUCUGUCAUCCCCGGGCUCUUUCCGCUCUCGCUGGGCAGGCUGAGGCCCGGGAUGAGCCGUAGCCCGUACCAAAACCUGCACCAUGAGCCCCUCUUUCCUCCCCUGAGGUCGACCCAAGCUUGGGCAAGGGAUAGCACAUGGGGCUGAAACCCAAGUGAUGCCGGCUGCUGCUAGUAGCAUGGGAGGAGAGCCCCGAAGAAUUGCCCUUAUGGUAGUGUGCUUGUUUUCCAAGCCUCCAUACAAACGGAGAGGCCACUUCUGUCCCCAAAUCUAGCUCACUGUGUUGGGGCUGGGGAAAGCCGCAGGGUCUGUGGCUGUCCCUUGACACAGUCCCUCAAGCCCACACCUCCUGCUGCCUGUAGCAGCUCUCCAGGCACUUGGUGCCUUCAGAAACCAGCUGUGUCUCGCCAUGCUUAUAUAGACAGAAAACCCAGACACUGCUGGAGAGCAGGAACCCGAGCUUCCUUUAACUCCACAGUACAAGCUGCUGUUCUCCUGAGCAGCACCCCUGUCUGGAGACAGUGAAGUGCCUUGGGACAACCGUGGCUGACCAAAGGCUGCCACAGGGCUGUGCCGAUGAAGAGCAGAGGCAGGGAAAGCUCAACACCUCGAGGAGAGGGAUAGUUUGGGGCACUGGUUAGCACAUCAGCUGAAGUCCACCUGGUUGGAAGCACCCUGAGCUACAGAUUGCCACGUUCACAGAGCUAGCAAUUGGUGAGGGCAUAGCCUCAUGCACCAGGUCACAAGCUUGUCCAUCCCUUGGCCAAUUUCAGUGAACUGGAAGGUUUCUCAGCAAUUACACAAGACGCAUAUGAAACCUCCAUAAAUCCUUACGGGGGUGACAAGUAUUUGGAGGACAAACAUUUCAGAGCCAGUAACCGAGCAGGAGAGGAGCUGAGGUUUGAUAUCCUAAAGCAGGAAUCUCUGCUUUUUGUCCUGCUGCAUCGCUGCCCAUCUGUGAUACAACCAGAAGGGGAGGCAAGGUGCCGACCUCCGUGUGCGUGCUGCUGUCAGCAGCUGGCUGCUGAUGGUUCAUUGAAAUGAAUCUCCUCAUUUCAGUGCCCAUGCUCUGCGCUGUGUCUGCCCCUGCCGUUCGUUAGAGCCACUGACAGCAACCCCAGCCCGCUUUGCCUCCUGGAUCAGCUCCUCAGAAACCCUGAAAAAGAGACCCUGGAAUUCCCCGAUGCAUAUCCAGCAAUAAAACAUUUCAGGAGGGCUACA
Molecule: long non-coding RNA, 1957 nt
Organism: Anser brachyrhynchus (Pink-footed goose)
Lineage: Eukaryota; Metazoa; Chordata; Aves; Anseriformes; Anatidae
Source: Ensembl